This 228-nucleotide unclassified non-coding RNA is filed under the name plant metagenome. Its description in RNAcentral is "partial contains small subunit ribosomal RNA, internal transcribed spacer 1, and 5.8S ribosomal RNA". The record is from RNAcentral.
UUUCCGUAGGUGAACCUGCGGAAGGAUCAUUACAGUGUUCCCUGCCCUUCGGGGUAGGAUCGCCACCCUUGAUUAUUUAUGAGUGUUGCUUUGGCGGGCCUCGCGGCCUGGCCGCGCCCCGGCUUCGGCGGGGGAGCGCCCGCCAGAGGAUUCUACAAACCUGAUUAUUAGUGUCGUCUGAGUACUAUAUAAUAGUUAAAACCUUCAACAACGGAUCUCUUGGUUCUG